Molecule: long non-coding RNA, 239 nt
Filed under: Gallus gallus (chicken)
Lineage: Eukaryota; Metazoa; Chordata; Aves; Galliformes; Phasianidae
Source: RNAcentral
GAUGUAUACUCUUCCUUUAACGGGGCCAUUAAAUGGACACAUGUAAAUAACAUCCUUGUCUGUAACUCUAGUCUCUCCUGGCAGACGGGGUAUUUCUUCACUUUUUUCCCAGUUAGCUCCAUCUUUUAGAGUUCUUUUAAUUGAGGAGCUCUCCAAGGAGUGUGAAUUAUAUUUAGGUGCUGAUGAUGAGGCCAUACUGAGUAUCACGGCGCUGCUGCUGCCGCCGCCGUCGCCGUCGC